This 1064-nucleotide ribosomal RNA is filed under the name Salmonella enterica subsp. enterica serovar Saintpaul. RNAcentral's name for it is "partial 23S ribosomal RNA". It matches the Rfam family "Bacterial large subunit ribosomal RNA", at positions 692 to 1669 of the family's 2925-position model. Lineage: Bacteria; Pseudomonadati; Pseudomonadota; Gammaproteobacteria; Enterobacterales; Enterobacteriaceae. The record is from RNAcentral.
GCGUUAAGUUGCAGGGUAUAGACCCGAAACCCGGUGAUCUAGCCAUGGGCAGGUUGAAGGUUGGGUAACACUAACUGGAGGACCGAACCGACUAAUGUUGAAAAAUUAGCGGAUGACCUGUGGCUGGGGGUGAAAGGCCAAUCAAACCGGGAGAUAGCUGGUUCUCCCCGAAAGCUAUUUAGGUAGCGCCUCGUGAAUUCAUCUCCGGGGGUAGAGCACUGUUUCGGCUAGGGGGCCAUCCCGGCUUACCAACCCGAUGCAAACUGCGAAUACCGGAGAAUGUUAUCACGGGAGACACACGGCGGGUGCUAACGUCCGUCGUGAAGAGGGAAACAACCCAGACCGCCAGCUAAGGUCCCAAAGUCAUGGUUAAGUGGGAAACGAUGUGGGAAGGCCCAGACAGCCAGGAUGUUGGCUUAGAAGCAGCCAUCAUUUAAAGAAAGCGUAAUAGCUCACUGGUCGAGUCGGCCUGCGCGGAAGAUGUAACGGGGCUAAACCAUGCACCGAAGCUGCGGCAGCGAACGUAUCACCCAAGACAACUUUACGGAGUUGACGAUUGACGGAGCGAAGCGACGUCAAAGCGUUCAUUAAAGUCGAGUUGGCUUAGGGAUACGUUCGUUGGGUAGGGGAGCGUUCUGUAAGCCUGUGAAGGUGUGUCGUGAGGCAUGCUGGAGGUAUCAGAAGUGCGAAUGCUGACAUAAGUAACGAUAAAGCGGGUGAAAAGCCCGCUCGCCGGAAGACCAAGGGUUCCUGUCCAACGUUAAUCGGGGCAGGGUGAGUCGACCCCUAAGGCGAGGCCGAAAGGCGUAGUCGAUGGGAAACGGGUUAAUAUUCCCGUACUUGGUGUUACUGCGAAGGGGGGACGGAGAAGGCUAUGUUGGCCGGGCGACGGUUGUCCCGGUUUAAGCGUGUAGGUGUGUGUUCCAGGUAAAUCCGGUUCACUUUAACACUGAGGCGUGACGACGAGGCACUACGGUGCUGAAGCAACAAAUGCCCUGCUUCCAGGAAAAGCCUCUAAGCAUCAGGUAACAUCAAAUCGUACCCCAAACCGACACAGGUGGUCA